AUUGAACGCUGGCGGCAGGCCUAACACAUGCAAGUCGAACGAGUGGCGGACGGGUGAGUAAUGUCAGGGAAAUUGCCUGAUGGAGGGGGAUAACUCCUGGAAACGGUAGCUAAUACCGCAUACCAUCAGAUGUGCCCAGAUGGGAUUAGCAAGUUGGGGGGGUAAAGGCUCACCAAGGCGACGCUCCCUAGCUGGUCUGAGAGGAUGACCAGCCACACUGGAACUGAGACACGGGCCAGACUCCUACGGGAGGCAGCAGUGGGGAAUAUUGCACAAUGGGCGCAAGCCUGAUGCAGCCAUGCCGCGUGUAUGAAGAAGGCCUUCGGGUUGUAAAGUACUUUCAGCGGGUAGGCGUUACCCGCAGAAGAAGCACCGGCUAACUCCGUGCCAGCCGCCGCGGUAAUAC
This 406-nucleotide ribosomal RNA is filed under the name uncultured bacterium. Its description in RNAcentral is "partial 16S ribosomal RNA". It matches the Rfam family "Bacterial small subunit ribosomal RNA", at positions 30 to 526 of the family's 1533-position model. The record is from RNAcentral.